GUGAGGAAUUUUCCGCAAUGGGCGAAAGCCUGACGGAGCAAUGCCGCGUGAAGGAUGAAGGCCUAUGGGUUGUAAACUUCUUUUCUCAGAAAAGAAUUAUGACGGUAUCUGAGGAAUAAGCAUCGGCUAACUCUGUGCCAGCAGCCGCGGUAAGACAGAGGAUGCAAGCGUUAUCCAGAAUGAUUGGGCGUAAAGCGUCUGUAGGUUGUUUAAAAAGUAUUCUGUCAAAGAUUAGGGCUUAACCCUAGAUAGGCAGAAUAAACUUUUAAGCUAGAGUUUGGUAGAGGCAGAGGGAAUUCCCGGUGGAGCGGUGAAAUGCGUAGAUAUCGGGAGGAACACCAAAGGCGAAGGCACUCUGCUGGGCCAAUACUAACACUGAGAGACGAAAGCGAGGGGAGCAAAUGGGAUUAGAAACCCCUGUAGUCC
This 426-nucleotide ribosomal RNA is filed under the name uncultured bacterium. RNAcentral describes it as "partial 16S ribosomal RNA". It matches the Rfam family "Bacterial small subunit ribosomal RNA", at positions 354 to 796 of the family's 1533-position model. The record is from RNAcentral.